UACGGAGGGUGCAAACGUUGCUCGGAUUUAUUGGGCGUAAAGAGCGUGUAGGCGGCUUGGUAGGUCCGCUGUGAAAACUCGAGGCUCAACCUCGAGAUGUCGGCGGAAACCACUUGGCUAGAGUCCGGAAGAGGAGAGUGGAAUUCCCGGUGUAGCGGUGAAAUGCGCAGAUAUCGGGAAGAACACCUAUGGCGAAGGCAGCUCUCUGGGACGGUACUGACGCUGAGACGCGAAAGCGUGGGGAGCGAACAGG
RNAcentral lists this ribosomal RNA (253 nucleotides) under uncultured bacterium. Its description in RNAcentral is "partial 16S ribosomal RNA". It matches the Rfam family "Bacterial small subunit ribosomal RNA", at positions 524 to 776 of the family's 1533-position model. The record is from RNAcentral.